CGAAGGAUGCAAGCGUUAUCCGGAUUCAUUGGGUUUAAAGGGUGCGUAGGCGGACUGAUAAGUCAGUGGUGAAAUUUCUUUGCUUAACAAAGAAACUGCCAUUGAUACUGUCGGUCUAGAGUAUAGAUGACGUUGGCGGAAUAUGACAUGUAGUGGUGAAAUACUUAGAUAUGUCAUAGAACACCGAUUGCGAAGGCAGCUAACGAAACUAUAACUGACGCUGAGGCACGAAAGUGCGGGAUCAAACAGGAUUAGAUACCCUGGUAGUCCGCACCGUAAACGAUGAUUACUCGUUGUUGGCGAUAUGACAGUCAGCGACCAAGCGAAAGCGAUAAGUAAUCCACCUGGGGAGUACGCCGGCAACGGUG
RNAcentral lists this ribosomal RNA (368 nucleotides) under uncultured organism. RNAcentral describes it as "bacterial SSU rRNA". It matches the Rfam family "Bacterial small subunit ribosomal RNA", at positions 526 to 896 of the family's 1533-position model. The record is from RNAcentral.